GAGUAAACACACUGGCCCAUAAUGCUUGAAUAGAGUGGAGUACUAACCUGAUCAACUGGAGUCUUCCAGCAAAUGAAAGAAACCGCUGAGCCCAAGUCUAAACUCUAGCUGUGAUCCGGUCAAUAAGUGCAAUACAGUCCGUUUUACCAAGCCUUGAAGAAAUAAUCGGGACUCCCAGAUAGCGUACUGGAAGCUUCCCUUCC
This 203-nucleotide long non-coding RNA is filed under the name Eucalyptus grandis. RNAcentral describes it as "long non-coding RNA (EGRA_LNC005871)". The record is from RNAcentral. Lineage: Eukaryota; Viridiplantae; Streptophyta; Magnoliopsida; Myrtales; Myrtaceae.